GAUGAACGCUGGCGGCGUGCCUAAUACAUGCAAGUCGAGCGAACAGACGAGGCUCUUGCUUCUCUGACGUUAGCGGCGGACGGGUGAGUACCACGUGGAUAACCUACCUAUAAGACUGGCAUCACUUCGGGAAACCUGAUCUAACACCGGAUAAUAUAUUGAACCGGAUGGUUCAAUAGUGAAAGACGGAUUUGCUGUCACUUAUAGAUGGAUCCGGGCCGGAUUAGCUAGUUGGUAAGGUAACGGCUUACCAAGGCGACGAUGCGUAGCCGACCUGAGAGGGUGAUCGGCCACACUGGAACUGAGACACGGUCCAGACUCCUACGGGAGGCAGCAGUAGGGAAUCUUCCGCAAUGGGCGAAAGCCUGACGGAGCAACGCCGCGUGUGUGAUGAAGGUCUUCGGAUCGUAAAACUCUGUUAGUAGGGAAGAAGAAAUGUGUAAGUAACUAUGCACGUCUUGACGGUACCUAAUCAGAAAGCCACGGCUAACUACGUG
RNAcentral lists this ribosomal RNA (497 nucleotides) under uncultured bacterium. Its description in RNAcentral is "partial 16S ribosomal RNA". It matches the Rfam family "Bacterial small subunit ribosomal RNA", at positions 28 to 507 of the family's 1533-position model. The record is from RNAcentral.